RNAcentral lists this ribosomal RNA (468 nucleotides) under uncultured bacterium. Its description in RNAcentral is "partial 16S ribosomal RNA". It matches the Rfam family "Bacterial small subunit ribosomal RNA", at positions 28 to 507 of the family's 1533-position model. The record is from RNAcentral.
GACGAACGCUGGCGGCGUGCUUAACACAUGCAAGUCGAACGGAAAGGCCCUGCUUUUGUGGGGUGCUCGAGUGGCGAACGGGUGAGUAACACGUGAGUAACCUGCCCUUGACUUUGGGAUAACUUCAGGAAACUGGGGCUAAUACCGGGUAGGAGCUCCUGCUGCAUGGUGGGGGUUGGAAAGUUUCGGCGGUUGGGGAUGGACUCGCGGCUUAUCAGCUUGUUGGUGGGGUAGUGGCUUACCAAGGCUUUGACGGGUAGCCGGCCUGAGAGCGGGACCGGCCACAUUGGGACUGAGAGACGGCCCAGACUCCUACGGGAGGCAGCAGUGGGGAAUAUUGCACAAUGGGCGGAAGCCUGAUGCAGCAACGCCGCGUGCGGGAUGACGGCCUUCGGGUUGUAAACCGCUUUCGCCUGUGACGAAGCGUGAGUGACGGUAAUGGGUAAAGAAGCACCGGCUAACUACGUG